UGACUUACCUGGGAGGGGAGACACCUUGGUCACCUAGGAGAUUCACCCAGGGUGAGGCUCGGCCAUCACACUCGAAUUCCCCAAAUGUGGGAAUCUAGACCGCAUCAUUUGUGGUGAAGGGUGGUAAGGUAGCCUUG
Molecule: small nuclear RNA, 137 nt
Organism: Oncorhynchus tshawytscha (Chinook salmon)
Lineage: Eukaryota; Metazoa; Chordata; Actinopteri; Salmoniformes; Salmonidae
Gene: U1
Rfam family: U1 spliceosomal RNA
About the family: U1 is a small nuclear RNA (snRNA) component of the spliceosome (involved in pre-mRNA splicing).
Source: Ensembl